Molecule: non-coding RNA, 408 nt
Filed under: Homo sapiens (human)
Lineage: Eukaryota; Metazoa; Chordata; Mammalia; Primates; Hominidae
Source: RNAcentral
GUACGAGUUCAGUGGAGGAGACCGCAAGUUGAGUGGAGGAGGCGGCGGUGGGGCCCCGGACCAGGUGCCUCCAUGGCAGGCUCUGAAGAGCUGGGGCUCCGGGAAGACACGCUGAGGGUCCUAGCUGCCUUCCUUAGGCGUGGUGAGGCUGCCGGGUCUCCUGUUCCAACUCCACCUAGCCCUGCCCAAGAAGAGCCAACAGACUUCCUGAGCCGCCUUCGAAGAUGUCUUCCCUGCUCCCUGGGGCGAGGAGCAGCCCCCUCUGAGUCCCCUCGGCCUUGCUCUCUGCCCAUCCGCCCCUGCUAUGGUUUAGAGCCUGGCCCAGCUACUCCAGACUUCUAUGCUUUGGUGGCCCAGCGGCUGGAACAGCUGGUCCAAGAGCAGCUGAAAUCUCCGCCCAGCCCAGAG